GACGAACGCUGGCGGCGUGCUUAUCACAUGCAAGUCGAACGGAAAGGCCCUGCUUUUGUGGGGUGCUCGAGUGGCGAACGGGUGAGUAACACGUGAGUAACCUGCCCUUGACUUUGGGAUAACUUCAGGAAACUGGGGCUAAUACCGGAUAGGAGCUCCUGCUGCAUGGUGGGGGUUGGAAAGUUUCGGCGGUUGGGGAUGGACUCGCGGCUUAUCAGCUUGUUGGUGGGGUAGUGGCUUACCAAGGCUUUGACGGGUAGCCGGCCUGAGAGGGUGACCGGCCACAUUGGGACUGAGAUACGGCCCAGACUCCUACGGGAGGCAGCAGUGGGGAAUAUUGCACAAUGGGCGGAAGCCUGAUGCAGCAACGCCGCGUGCGGGAUGACGGCCUUCGGGUUGUAAACCGCUUUCGCCUGUGACGAAGCGUGAGUGGCGGUAAUGGGUAAAGAAGCACCGGCUAACUACGUG
This 468-nucleotide ribosomal RNA is filed under the name uncultured bacterium. RNAcentral describes it as "partial 16S ribosomal RNA". It matches the Rfam family "Bacterial small subunit ribosomal RNA", at positions 28 to 507 of the family's 1533-position model. The record is from RNAcentral.